Molecule: long non-coding RNA, 3679 nt
Organism: Malus domestica (apple)
Lineage: Eukaryota; Viridiplantae; Streptophyta; Magnoliopsida; Rosales; Rosaceae
Source: RefSeq, a predicted model, not a curated record
GUAAUUUUAACAUAGAUAUAAUUUUUUAUGCAAUGCAUGAGUAUAUGAAAUGUUAAGACGAUAAUAUAUCAUGUGAUUUAAAAUUCAAAGAGAGACAAUGAACCAUGUUUGAUAUUUUGUUUGUCUUGUUUCGUUUAAAUUUGGGCGUUUUUCAGUUGGAUUCAUGGGUUUUGUUUAAGAUAUCAUUUUUGGUUUAGCCAACGCAAAAGUUUACAUCUUUUCUAUGUUGGAUUCAUGGGGUUUUCUUAAGCUUUCAAGUUUUCAGUUUUUGUCAAGAAAUUUAAUCUAGGUUUCAUUUAUUUUUCAAACUAGACACUUUUGUGAAGAUUUUCUUUAUAAUUCAGUAAAUGAUUGCUCCUUUACCUGUAAAUUUGACUUAUGUAAAUUUCCAGGUUGUUCAAAACCCGCAGGGAAGCGCGGGCAAUUUUUCUAGUUAAAUGUCUAAAAGAAACGUAUAAGAGAUUUGGUGGCAUGAUUUUGUAAAUGAACACAAAUUCAGGGACAUCUUUUAUCCAACAUGACAUCAUAUUUAAAAUUUGGGUUUUAUUUAGAAGUUAUAAUAUUUAUGUGGCCUUUUGUCUAGAGUUUAAGAGUUGCCAGGAUUGGAUGAAAAUUUGCUGAGUGUUGGACAAAUGAUGCAGCAUGGAUAUUUCCUUCUAUUUGGAUUGAUGAGGUUGCUCUAUUUGAAGAUAAGAUGCUGGAAAAUCAUGUGGUUACAGUACAAAUGACUGGGAAUAGAUGUUUCCCUCUCAUAAUGGAAGAUAAGAAAUUCAAUGUGUUGAAAGCUGCUUUGGAAGACGGUGCUUAAGAUUGGCACAUAAGACUUGGACAAUUGAAUUUUCAAAGCCUGUAGUUACCUGUUAGUCGGGAAAUGGUACUAUGAAUGCCAAAGUUGAAGCAAACACAAACAGUAUGUGAAGGUUGUGCGGUGGGAACGCAUCACAGAGAAGCCUGUAGCAGGGAGAUAAUGUGGAGAGCAAGUCAUCCACUAGAGUUGAUACACUCUGAUAUUUGUGCAGGUUACAACAUCGGGUGGAAACAAGUAUUGCUUGACUUUCAUAGAUGAUUGUACAAGAAGGUAUUGGUUGUAUCUUCUGAAGCACAAGUCUAAAGUGUUCACUGUGUUUAAACAUUUCAAAGCCAUGGUUAAGCUACAAUGUGGAUACCAGAUCAAAAGAUUGAGGAGUGACAACGGUGCAAUAUCUAUUUACUAGACAUCCUUUGGGAUUCUUCCAUAUUAGAACAAGGAUUCUAUUCUAAAAAGGCCCCCUCUCCCACGGUAUAAAUACACCCAUCUAGGGUUCAUCUACGGUUGUUCCAGACUACAUGAAUUCGUGCUCGACCGCCUCUUACGGCUCCAAACUAAUUAAUAAGUUUAAGGGGGAUAUGAUGAAGAAGUAUGAGAUGACUGAUCUUGGCUUGCUUUAUCAUUUUCUUGGUAUGUGAAUAGUUCAAACAGAGCAAAAGUAUCUUUAUCAAUCAAAAGAAGUACACUCUUGCACUUUUAGACAAAUUUAGUUUUGAAGAUUGCAAGCCUCUCACUAUAACACUUGCAGUGAAUACGAAGUUGAAAGGAGAAGAUGGUGGUGCUCUUGUAGAUAAAGCUCUUUAUAGGUAGAUUGUUGGUAGUCUGUUAUAGUUGAUAGCUACAAGGCCUAACAUUGUGUUUGAUGCGAUCUUACUCUCAAAAUUCAUGCACAGUCCUUCAAAGAAACACUUUGGUAUUGCAAAAUGGGUGCUAAGAUACAUACAAGGAACCUUGGAUUAUGCCAUUGAAUAUUUGAAAUCCAAGGAAGCAAUAUUAUGCUAAUAGGCUAUUGUGGCUGUGAUUGGAGUAGGGAUGAAAAUGAUUUGAAAAGUACUCCUGGAUAUGCAUUUUCAUUUGGCAGUGGAAUCUGCUCAUGGGCUUCAUCGAAACAACACAGUGUAGUAUUGUCUACUGCAGGUGCUGAGUAUGUUAGUGCCUCUGAAGCUAUUACUCAAGAGAUUUGGCUUUGAUUUAUAAUGGAAGACUUUGCUGAAUUACAAACUUAGGCUACUUGAUUGCAUUGUGACAACACAUCUGCCAUUGUCAUGACAAAAACCAUGUGUUUCAUGAAAGAUCCAAGCACAUAAAUAGCAGGUAUCACUUCUUUAGAGAAUCACUACAAAACAAUAUCAUCAAUCUAUUGUAUUGCAGAUCAGAGGAACAAUUGGCAGACAUCUUCAUCACAGCAUUGUCAAAUAAUCUAUUCUUCUAUCUCAGAAACAUGCUAGGGAUCAAAUCAGCAACAAUCUUAGAAGUGAGUGUUAAUGAUUAAGCAUUGGUGUUGAUUCCUUAGACUGCAAGCUUAGAAGGUAUGGACUGCACAGAGAGAAGGAGGGGGAGAGAGCGCGGAGAGAGGAAGAUGACGGAAGGGUGGGUCUUUUGAACAGAGACCUUGCAGACAAAGGGUGAGGGAGGGAUGGGACUGAUCUUAACGAAAUUACAGAAAACAAGCCACCCUAAUUCAAGUUCUCUAUCUUCAGAUCACCAGCAAUAACCUCAUCAAGGUCCUAGGAGGAAUCACGAGGAUUCACAGCCGAAUUGGUAUGUACUUAUGCUUUUGCAAAAAGCCCUUUUCUUGCCAUUUUUCUGUUUUAGAAUUGGGACCAAAAUGAUUAUGAGUGAUUUUGAAAAACACCGAGAAAAAAUGGCUAUCAAGCAAGCAGGCUGUGAGUAUUCAAAAUAUAAUUUUCAGUCAAAUAAAAUAUUGGCACCACAAGCUUUUAAGUAGGGAGGGAUGUUUGAUUAUAUAUUUAAAUUAAGCAAAGAAUCUUGCAUAAGAAAACGAUCCAAGUUGAAGUAAACCAAAUAUAUGGUGCAACAACUGUUAGUUUGGUCAGUCUUCAUCACACUAAUCAAAUGGGCCCGAGGGGUUGAUUUUCACAGUAACCACUUACUUUUUAGUAUGUUCCGGAGUAUUUUAGUGUUUAACUAUUUUUUACAUUUUUGAGGUUCGGAGUGAUUUUUAAAACGAGUCAUGAAUUUUAGUUUUCUAAUAUUACACUCUCUAUGCUUCAGAUUUUCCACAUUUUGACUUGGACUUCUUUUUUUCUUUGUUCUGUUUGAAGAACUUAGUACUUUUGAUUUCAGUAGCAAAAUAAUUUGAACAGGAUGAGAGAGAGAGAGAGAGAGAGAGAGAGAGAAAUAAAGCAUCUACUUGAUCUCUGUACUUUCUCUUAUUCUUAUGUGUGGUUAAGGUUGCAUAUCUGAAUUUUAACCUAUCAUCAUGUAAGUAUUAUAGUGUGUUUUAGAAGCGGGAGUGUGUGAAAUGUGUUGAUGCUGAUGAUGGUGUCGAAUUUGGGGACACUUCCCAGCUAGCAGAGCAAGUAACAGAGAGCUUUUUCCAACUCAAAUUUAAUGAUUCAAGCUGCUUAAGACUUGCAUAACAUUUCCAAGUUGUAGUCGAUGUGCCUGAGUUCUUGAGUACUUCAGUCUUCACUAAUGAAUGUAACACCAUUAAGACUUGGAAUGUCUUUGGGGGGUACGAAAUAACAUUGCUCAUUUCGUAUUUUAUGGGUUCGAAUUUUUUGUCGAGUACGUGAUUCUUGCAAAAGAGUUGUAAAUAUCGUUGUAAAUAUGUGUAAGUAGAGUUGUAAACCCUACCAUUGAACACUUAAUAUAGUUGUACAUAUAUAUAGAAAUUUUUACAUGCUU